RNAcentral lists this ribosomal RNA (1352 nucleotides) under uncultured bacterium. Its description in RNAcentral is "bacterial SSU rRNA". It matches the Rfam family "Bacterial small subunit ribosomal RNA", at positions 28 to 1381 of the family's 1533-position model. The record is from RNAcentral.
AUUGAACGCUGGCGGCAUGCCUUACACAUGCAUGUCGAACGGCAGCACGGAGCUUGCUCUGGUGGCGAGUGGCGAACGGGUGAGUAAUAUAUCGGAACGUACCCUAGAGUGGGGGAUAACGCAGCGAAAGUUACGCUAAUACCGCAUACGAUCUAAGGAUGAAAGUGGGGGAUCGCAAGACCUCAUGCUCGUGGAGCGGCCGAUAUCUGAUUAGCUAGUUGGUAGGGUAAAAGCCUACCAAGGCAUCGAUCAGUAGCUGGUCUGAGAGGACGACCAGCCACACUGGAACUGAGACACGGUCCAGACUCCUACGGGAGGCAGCAGUGGGGAAUUUUGGACAAUGGGCGAAAGCCUGAUCCAGCAAUGCCGCGUGAGUGAAGAAGGCCUUCGGGUUGUAAAGCUCUUUUGUCAGGGAAGAAACGGUGAGAGCUAAUAUCUCCUGCUAAUGACGGUACCUGAAGAAUAAGCACCGGCUAACUACGUGCCAGCAGCCGCGGUAAUACGUAGGGUGCAAGCGUUAAUCGGAAUUACUGGGCGUAAAGCGUGCGCAGGCGGUUUUGUAAGUCUGAUGUGAAAUCCCCGGGCUCAACCUGGGAAUUGCAUUGGAGACUGCAAGGCUAGAAUCUGGCAGAGGGGGGUAGAAUUCCACGUGUAGCAGUGAAAUGCGUAGAUAUGUGGAGGAACACCGAUGGCGAAGGCAGCCCCCUGGGUCAAGAUUGACGCUCAUGCACGAAAGCGUGGGGAGCAAACAGGAUUAGAUACCCUGGUAGUCCACGCCCUAAACGAUGUCUACUAGUUGUCGGGUCUUAAUUGACUUGGUAACGCAGCUAACGCGUGAAGUAGACCGCCUGGGGAGUACGGUCGCAAGAUUAAAACUCAAAGGAAUUGACGGGGACCCGCACAAGCGGUGGAUGAUGUGGAUUAAUUCGAUGCAACGCGAAAAACCUUACCUACCCUUGACAUGGCUGGAAUCCCGGAGAGAUUUGGGAGUGCUCGAAAGAGAACCAGUACACAGGUGCUGCAUGGCUGUCGUCAGCUCGUGUCGUGAGAUGUUGGGUUAAGUCCCGCAACGAGCGCAACCCUUGUCAUUAGUUGCUACGAAAGGGCACUCUAAUGAGACUGCCGGUGACAAACCGGAGGAAGGUGGGGAUGACGUCAAGUCCUCAUGGCCCUUAUGGGUAGGGCUUCACACGUCAUACAAUGGUACAUACAGAGCGCCGCCAACCCGCGAGGGGGAGCUAAUCGCAGAAAGUGUAUCGUGGUCCAGAUUGUAGUCUGCAACUCGACUGCAUGAAGUUGGAAUCGCUAGUAAUCGCGGAUCAGCAUGUCGCGGUGAAUACGUUCCCGGGUCU